UUUUCAAUUUCAUGAUAUUUAUUGAUUUUAAUCUUUAUUCUAUUUUGUCUUUAUUUUAUUCUUAUUUCUAUUUGUAUCUUUAUUUAUUUAUUUAUUUAUUUUUUGGGCAUGAGGAAACUGGCCGCCAUUUAUUUGGAAGGAAAAUCAACAUAAUUUUGAAAAGAGGAGAUUGUGUUUUUAGAAGGAUAGCACGUAUAUUAUUUCCAUGGGGAAUCGGUUACAAAGGGGAAGAAAAUAUGAAAGGAAAGUGGAUUUUCCUCCAGCAGAUUUGGGGGGUUCUUUGAGGGAGGCUGAUAUAUAUAUGUGAGAGAGGAAAAAGGAGAAAAGGGGGAUUCGGAGAUUGGCUUUGGGGAGUUUUUUUUUGGAGAGAUCUAGAAGAAAAUCAGAGAGCAAGAGAGAAGAAGAGCAGAACAGAAGGGACGGUUCACAGGGUUUUCGGCUAGUCUUGGGAGUAGGAGCAGCAAGCCUGAAGUCCAGCACACCUUGCUGCAGAGGAGACUUUCAGUUCCUUUGAGAAAGUUUGAGAUGCCAUUAUUGGGAGGCUUGCUCUUGACAAGUAUUGAGGUUGAUCCUGUUAUGGAUAUUUGCAUAAAGCCAC
Vitis vinifera (wine grape) is the source of this 598-nucleotide long non-coding RNA. RefSeq lists it as uncharacterized. NCBI's taxonomy places the organism in Eukaryota, Viridiplantae, Streptophyta, Magnoliopsida, Vitales, Vitaceae. The transcript has 2 exons. The record is from RefSeq and is a predicted model, not a curated record.